This 253-nucleotide ribosomal RNA is filed under the name uncultured bacterium. RNAcentral describes it as "partial 16S ribosomal RNA". It matches the Rfam family "Bacterial small subunit ribosomal RNA", at positions 524 to 776 of the family's 1533-position model. The record is from RNAcentral.
UACAGAGGUGGCAAGCGUUGUUCGGAAUUACUGGGCGUAAAGGGCGCGUAGGCGGUCUUGCAAGUCCUGUGUGAAAUCCCUCGGCUCAACUGAGGAACUGCACAGGAAACUGCUUGGCUUGAGUUCGGGAGAGGGAAGCGGAAUUCCGGGUGUAGCGGUGAAAUGCGUAGAUAUCCGGAGGAACACCGGUGGCGAAGGCGGCUUCCUGGACCGACACUGACGCUGAGGAGCGAAAGCGUGGGGAGCGAACAGG